RNAcentral lists this ribosomal RNA (1434 nucleotides) under uncultured Rhodopseudomonas sp. RNAcentral describes it as "bacterial SSU rRNA". It matches the Rfam family "Bacterial small subunit ribosomal RNA". Lineage: Bacteria; Pseudomonadati; Pseudomonadota; Alphaproteobacteria; Hyphomicrobiales; Nitrobacteraceae. The record is from RNAcentral.
GAACGCUGGCGGCAGGCUUAACACAUGCAAGUCGAACGGGCACUUCGGUGUCAGUGGCAGACGGGUGAGUAACGCGUGGGAACGUACCUUUUGGUUCGGGACAACUGAGGGAAACUUCAGCUAAUACCGGAUAAGCCCUAACGGGGAAAGAUUUAUCGCCGAAAGAUCGGCCCGCGUCUGAUUAGCUAGUUGGUAGGGUAAUGGCCUACCAAGGCGACGAUCAGUAGCUGGUCUGAGAGGAUGAUCAGCCACAUUGGGACUGAGACACGGCCCAAACUCCUACGGGAGGCAGCAGUGGGGAAUAUUGGACAAUGGGCGCAAGCCUGAUCCAGCCAUGCCGCGUGAGUGAUGAAGGCCCUAGGGUUGUAAAGCUCUUUUGUACGGGAAGAUAAUGACGGUACCGUAAGAAUAAGCCCCGGCUAACUUCGUGCCAGCAGCCGCGGUAAUACGAAGGGGGCUAGCGUUGCUCGGAAUCACUGGGCGUAAAGGGUGCGUAGGCGGGUUUUNAAGUCAGAGGUGAAAUCCUGGAGCUCAACUCCAGAACUGCCUUUGAUACUGAAAGUCUUGAGUAUGGGAGAGGUGAGUGGAACUGCGAGUGUAGAGGUGAAAUUCGUAGAUAUUCGCAAGAACACCAGUGGCGAAGGCGGCUCACUGGCCCAUAACUGACGCUGAGGCACGAAAGCGUGGGGAGCAAACAGGAUUAGAUACCCUGGUAGUCCACGCCGUAAACGAUGAAUGCCAGCCGUUAGUGGGUUUACUCACUAGUGGCGCAGCUAACGCUUUAAGCAUUCCGCCUGGGGAGUACGGUCGCAAGAUUAAAACUCAAAGGAAUUGACGGGGGCCCGCACAAGCGGUGGAGCAUGUGGUUUAAUUCGACGCAACGCGCAGAACCUUACCAGCCCUUGACAUGCCUAUGACCGGUACCAGAGAUGGAACCUUCCCUUCGGGGCAUAGAGCACAGGUGCUGCAUGGCUGUCGUCAGCUCGUGUCGCGAGAUGUUGGGUUAAGUCCCGCAACGAGCGCAACCCCCGUCCUUAGUUGCUACCAUUUAGUUGAGCACUCUAAGGAGACUGCCGGUGAUAAGCCGCGAGGAAGGUGGGGAUGACGUCAAGUCCUCAUGGCCCUUACGGGCUGGGCUACACACGUGCUACAAUGGCGGUGACAAUGGGAUGCAAAGGGGCGACCCCUCGCAAACCUCAAAAAGCCGUCUCAGUUCGGAUUGGGCUCUGCAACUCGAGCCCAUGAAGCUGGAAUCGCUAGUAAUCGUGGAUCAGCAUGCCACGGUGAAUACGUUCCCGGGCCUUGUACACACCGCCCGUCACACCAUGGGAGUUGGUUCUACCUGAAGGCAGUGCGCUAACCCGCAAGGGGGGCAGCUGACCACGGUAGGGUCAGCGACUGGGGUGAAGUCGUAACAAGGUAACCAAGGGCGAA